UCUUCACUCUCGCCCUGUGUUGUGAUCGUUCGAAACUCAUUGCCAGAACGAAUGCAAAUUUCAUUUGGGAAGGAUCGGUGCCGGAAGAUGCAGCGAAAAUCAUUAAAUGUUAAUAGAAAAGUGGUUAAGUAAAUCGUGAAAGAUGUCAACACAGGCGUAAAUGCAGUUUGUUUUGUUACAUGAUCUACGGCUAUUUCAUUACCAAAGCUCCUGAUAACAGAUCAAAGCAGAUGGAUCGAGCAUACAGAGUCGCCGUUUAACUUAAAAUAUCUUCGUGAUCGGUAAACACAUCAAACAGCAAGUGUUUUUCUUCCAACAGCACGCACCAUCGGUGGAUCAAGCAGCUAAUGAUUUGUUCGCCCAGCACGCACCAUCAAGAAUUGAAAUAUUCCCGAAUAGCUUUGUGAAUAAAAAACUGCACACUUAUGUAGAGUUGAGUACCAGAAGAACUCAGGAGUGUAGAAUGAUCGUGAGCGAUAUGAGAGACUGAGGCAGACGAGAGAGGAGAAAUGAGAGCGGAAGGAGAGAUGGAACUGAUGUUGAACGGCAGAAGUGAACGAAUGGUCCCAACGGUCACCAGCACUCAGAGAUCCGCUGAGAUUGAAGCUGACUUUGAAGCUGAGUUGGCGAAACGUCUCAGCCUCCGAAGUAACCCGAAGCCGAAGCGAACCCGAACGGAGUUCGGUACGAACCAUCGUUUAAUUAGCCCCCUCCCCCUUUUUGCCCCUUUUCUUUCUAAAACGAUCCAGUGCACACCAUUAUACUAAGUUAAUUCGAUUUAUUGAAUAUCGAACCAACAUAGAAUACAAAGAAAACACAACACUUGCUCAAUAAUCACUGCACUUAAUCCUAAAUUAACGCACAUAAUUUAAAAAAAACACUUUUUACAGUCGCACUGAGCAAAAAAUAACAAAUUCAGCACAGCACUUUCUGCUCCUCAUCGCUGUUGCUCCUGGUUUUUCUCGCUGCACUGUACGGGCCACCUGCUCCAACACUACGACACAGCCACAGGUUUUGUUGUCUCCGUUCGCCGUGAAACACACAUGAAAUGGAAGAAAAAUGUUAUUAAUUAGAAGGGGGGAUAUUGGUUGAUCAUUUUAAUCACUUUUACUUACCUCAAAUAAAACAAAUCUCCAUUUUUCACGGGGUUUAUCCGCCGACUACCAAGCGCAGAAACAGUACACAAGCACCAACCUCACUGGACUGAACGUAAAGCCUACUGCGUUAAUGUGUGUAUGCGCUUCUGCCAAGCCAGCCGCGCCGUACUGCGUGUGUAGCCAAGUGCGUGUGUGUGUAUAUUUGCACCACUGGACACAGAACACAAAUCUCACCGCACAGCAGAGCGUAUGUCGCCAAGUGUGUGCAUGUGUGUAUUUGCACCACCGAAUUCUGAACGUCCACCGCACCGCACCAAACAGCGUGUAUCGCCAAGUGCGUGGUUGUGUGUAGUAUCACCGUGGACUGCAGAAAACUACCUGCACUAGAACAGAGCGCUGGUGUGGCCAAAUGUGUGCAUGUGUGUACUUGCUCCACUGAAAGCCGGUAUCGCACCAGAUUUCGGGUGUCGCCUUGUGCGCGCGUGUGUGUUAUUCUCACAGCACACUCGUUCAUAAUUUUUUUCGUUUUUUCGCUUGAGCCACUCGAUUUCGUUCUUCGCUGAUUUUGGCAGCGCACGAAGGGGGUUCGGUUUCAACUUCCAACAACAACAACCACACGAGGGAGCUCGUGGAUACUCACGAAGGGAAAAUCACUCAAAUUAGAGCGAGAGACAGAUAGAAAAAACGAAAGGUCAAUAUAAAAUCUUCGGCUUUUGACCGUUGUGGUGCGAGCGAACGGACGUAUAUACGCAUAUAACCACUGAAGUGAAAUAAA
Long non-coding RNA from Anopheles merus, 1872 nucleotides. RefSeq lists it as uncharacterized. The record is from RefSeq and is a predicted model, not a curated record. Lineage: Eukaryota; Metazoa; Arthropoda; Insecta; Diptera; Culicidae. The transcript has 3 exons.